Molecule: ribosomal RNA, 217 nt
Filed under: Enterobacter cloacae subsp. dissolvens
Lineage: Bacteria; Pseudomonadati; Pseudomonadota; Gammaproteobacteria; Enterobacterales; Enterobacteriaceae
Description: partial 23S ribosomal RNA
Rfam family: Bacterial large subunit ribosomal RNA
Source: RNAcentral
CCCCCAGUAGCGGCGAGCGAACGGGGAGCAGCCCAGAGUCUGAAUCAGCUUGUGUGUUAGUGGAAGCGUCUGGAAAGUCGCACGGUACAGGGUGAUAGUCCCGUACACGAAAAUGCACAGGCUGUGAACUCGAAGAGUAGGGCGGGACACGUGGUAUCCUGUCUGAAUAUGGGGGGACCAUCCUCCAAGGCUAAAUACUCCUGACUGACCGAUAGUG